This 253-nucleotide ribosomal RNA is filed under the name uncultured bacterium. RNAcentral describes it as "partial 16S ribosomal RNA". It matches the Rfam family "Bacterial small subunit ribosomal RNA", at positions 524 to 776 of the family's 1533-position model. The record is from RNAcentral.
CACGUAGGGCGCGAGCGUUGUCCGGAAUUAUUGGGCGUAAGGAGCUCGUAGGCGGCCUGUUGCGUCCGCUGUGAAAGCCCGGGGCUUAACCCCGGGUCUGCAGUGGAUACGGGCAGGCUAGAGGUAGGUAGGGGAGAAUGGAAUUCCCGGUGUAGCGGUGAAAUGCGCAGAUAUCAGGAAGAACACCCGUGGCGAAAGCGGCUCUCUGGAACGGUACUGACGCUGAGACGCGAAAGCGUGGGGAGCGAACAGG